CAUCGUCUACCUAUAAAAACCCAAUAUCACUGAAGACUACGAAAAGUCACUAAGCCUAACGGUGAACCAACUCGUCCCUGUAGAAUCGUUUUAUUGCCGAAUCGCGACGUGUUUCCUAGCUUGGAUCGUCUCGUCCGAUCAUUUUUCUCAAGUAGACGUCCCCUUGGAAGCAUCGUCCACGAUCAUCCCCUUGUCCUCUUGGCCAAGUAUUUGGUAUUCAGACAACGACAUGCCAUCGAAACUCGAGCAGCCUCUGCAAGAACGUAUCUUCGACAUGGCUUCGAGAAAAUUGUUCAUCUUGUUCGCAAACUGAUGCAAAUCUAUAGGAGCUUUUGCUAUAGUUUCCUGAGACAUAGAUGCAUUUCGUAUGGCAAGAAUGUUGACACAAAGUGAUAGAAAGGAUGUUUGCUAGACUCGUGAAGGGUUAACCAAGUUGAUAAGGGUAAAGUAAUUGAUACUGACGCUAAAACGUCUGACCGUGAAGUAAGUACAAACGGAACAUCCAGCGGAAUUAUAGGAUUAUAUUAAUACGCUCGUUUCACAGAGCCAUGGUCGCUAUUUGCAGUUACCACGCGCUUCUUCGAUACCCUGCGUGUAAAUUCAUUCAUUAGGGAUUUGUAGAUCUUUGAAGACUAUUAAAGGGUGGCCAAUUUAAAUUGGCUAAACUAUAAAAUGAAUUUUAAUUAUUAGUUAAUACAAUUAGUAAUCCAAGAAUUCAGAAGGGUGUCACUAUGUCUAACAAGUGUAAAUGACAGCUGAAUACGACCGUGUGCACGCGAACAAAAGAGUGAAUUCUUAAGGGUGAACAAAGCAUUUUAAAGAAACUUCAACUCUAAACAUUAACCAAAAAUACUUUCAAAGGAAUGUGAUAUCAAAGAGUAUCAUUAUGAGAAUCUAUAUAUCCAGGAUAAAAAAAAAUUACCUGAUAUUCGCGAAUCCUAUUCGAGAAUGCUGUACAUUGAUCAUGUGCCAUCUGACGCGUUCGCCAGUAUAAAAUUGCGUGUGA
Apis dorsata (giant honeybee) is the source of this 1006-nucleotide long non-coding RNA. RefSeq lists it as uncharacterized. The record is from RefSeq and is a predicted model, not a curated record. NCBI's taxonomy places the organism in Eukaryota, Metazoa, Arthropoda, Insecta, Hymenoptera, Apidae. The transcript has 4 exons.